Molecule: ribosomal RNA, 500 nt
Filed under: uncultured bacterium
Lineage: Bacteria
Description: bacterial SSU rRNA
Rfam family: Bacterial small subunit ribosomal RNA
Source: RNAcentral
GCUUGCUAUUUUUAUGAAGAGCGGCGAACGGGUGAGUAACGCGUGGGAAAUCUGCCGAGUAGCGGGGGACAACGUUUGGAAACGAACGCUAAUACCGCAUAACAAUGAGAAUCGCAUGAUUCUUAUUUAAAAGAAGCAAUUGCUUCACUACUUGAUGAUCCCGCGUUGUAUUAGCUAGUUGGUAGUGUAAAGGACUACCAAGGCGAUGAUACAUAGCCGACCUGAGAGGGUGAUCGGCCACACUGGGACUGAGACACGGCCCAGACUCCUACGGGAGGCAGCAGUAGGGAAUCUUCGGCAAUGGGGGCAACCCUGACCGAGCAACGCCGCGUGAGUGAAGAAGGUUUUCGGAUCGUAAAACUCUGUUGUUAGAGAAGAACGUUAAGUAGAGUGGAAAAUACUUAAGUGACGGUAUCUAACCAGAAAGGGACGGCUAACUACGUGCCAGCAGCCGCGGUAAUACCGUAGGUCCCAAGCGUUGCCGGAUUUAUUGGGCGAAA